RNAcentral lists this ribosomal RNA (1522 nucleotides) under uncultured Pseudomonadota bacterium. RNAcentral's name for it is "bacterial SSU rRNA". It matches the Rfam family "Bacterial small subunit ribosomal RNA". Lineage: Bacteria; Pseudomonadati; Pseudomonadota. The record is from RNAcentral.
AGAGUUUGAUCAUGGCUCAGAAUGAACGCUGGCGGCGUGCCUAACACAUGCAAGUCGAACGAGAAAAUUCUGCUUCGGCGGGAUGAGUAAAGUGGCGCACGGGUGAGUAACGCGUGGGUAACCUGCCCUCGAAUCGGGGAUAACUUCGCGAAAGCGUAGCUAAUACCGGAUACUGUCCCCAAGGUUGUGGCCCUGGGGAUGAAAGGUGACCUCUUCAUGAAAGUUGCCGUUUGGGGAGGGGCUCGCGUAUCAUUAGCUAGUAGGUGGGGUAAGGGCCUACCUAGGCAACGAUGGUUAGCGGGUCUGAGAGGAUGAUCCGCCACACUGGAACUGGAACACGGACCAGACUCCUACGGGAGGCAGCAGUGAGGAAUUUUGCGCAAUGGGGGCAACCCUGACGCAGCGACGCCGCGUGGGUGAAGAAGGCCUUCGGGUUGUAAAGCUCUGUCAGAUGGGAAUAAGUUCAAUCAUGUUAAGAGCAUGGUUGUUUGAAGGUACCAUCAGAGGAAGCACCGGCUAACUCCGUGCCAGCAGCCGCGGUAAUACGGAGGGUGCAAGCGUUGUUCGGAAUCACUGGGCGUAAAGGGCACGCAGGCGGCCGAUCAAGUCAGGUGUGAAAUUCCAGGGCUCAACCCUGGACGUGCAUCUGAAACUGGUUGGCUUGAGUAUGGGAGAGGAAAGUGGAAUUCCCGGUGUAGAGGUGAAAUUCGUAGAUAUCGGGAGGAAUACCUGAGGCGAAGGCGACUUUCUGGACCAAUACUGACGCUGAGGUGCGAAAGCGUGGGUAGCGAACAGGAUUAGAUACCCUGGUAGUCACAGCUGUAAACGAUGUGCACUAGAUGUUGGGGGAGUUGACCCCUUCAGUGUCGCAGCUAACGCGAUAAGUGCACCGCCUGGGGAGUACGGCCGCAAGGUUAAAACUCAAAGGAAUUGACGGGGGCCCGCACAAGCGGUGGAGUAUGUGGUUUAAUUCGAUGCAACGCGAAGAACCUUACCUGGUCUUGACAUCCCGGGGAUCUCCUGGAAACAGGGGAGUGCUUCUUAAGGAAGAGCCCGGAGACAGGUGCUGCAUGGCUGUCGUCAGCUCGUGUCGUGAGAUGUUGGGUUAAGUCCCGUAACGAGCGCAACCCACGCCUUUAGUUGCCAUCAUUUGGUUGGGCACUCUAGAGGGACAGCCCCGGUUAACGGGGAGGAAGGUGUGGAUGACGUCAAGUCCUCAUGGCCCUUAUGGCCAGGGCUACACACGUACUACAAUGGACGGUACAAAGGGCAGCGACACUGCGAGGUGGAGCUAAUCCUGAAAGCCGUUCUCAGUCCGGAUCGGAGUCUGCAACUCGACUCCGCGAAGCUGGAAUCGCUAGUAAUCGUGGAUCAGAAAGUCACGGUGAAUACGUUCCCGGGCCUUGUACACACCGCCCGUCACACCACGAAAGUCGGCUGUACCAGAAGACGUUGAGCUAACCUUCGGGAGGCAGGCGUCCAAGGUAUGGCUGGUAAUUGGGGUGAAGUCGUAACAAGGUAA